AUACGGAGGGUGCGAGCGUUGUUCGGAAUUACUGGGCGUAAAGGGCGCGCCGGCGGCUUGGUAAGUCAGAUGUGAAAGCCUACGGCUCAACCGUGGAAGUGCAUCUGAAACUGUCUGGCUUGAGUACUGGAGAGGAAAGUGGAAUUCCUGGUGUAGAGGUGAAAUUCGUAGAUAUCAGGAGGAACACCGGUGGCGAAGGCGACUUUCUGGACAGAUACUGACGCUGAGGCGCGAAAGCGUGGGGAGCAAACAGGAUUAGAAACCCCAGUAGUCC
This 274-nucleotide ribosomal RNA is filed under the name uncultured bacterium. RNAcentral's name for it is "partial 16S ribosomal RNA". It matches the Rfam family "Bacterial small subunit ribosomal RNA", at positions 523 to 796 of the family's 1533-position model. The record is from RNAcentral.